Molecule: ribosomal RNA, 254 nt
Filed under: uncultured bacterium
Lineage: Bacteria
Description: partial 16S ribosomal RNA
Rfam family: Bacterial small subunit ribosomal RNA
Source: RNAcentral
CACGUAGGGGGCGAGCGUUGUCCGGAUUUAUUGGGCGUAAAGAGCUCGUAGGUGGCUUAGUAAGUCGGGUGUGAAACCUCCAGGCUCAACCUGGAGACGCCACCCGAUACUGCUAUAGCUUGAGUCCGGUAGGGGAGCGUGGAAUUCCUGGUGUAGCGGUGAAAUGCGCAGAUAUCAGGAGGGACACCAGCGGCGAAGGCGGCGCCCUGGGCCGGUACUGACACUGAGGAGCGAAAGCGUGGGGAGCAAACAGG